UUUCCGGUUGAUCCUGCCGGACCCCACUGCUAUCGGGAUAGGACUAAGGCAUGCUAGUUGAGCGCUUCCAGCCAACACGGGAGCGCAGCGCACAGCUCAGUAACACGUGGCUAAUCUGCCCUUGGGACCGGAACACCCCCGGGAAACUGGGGCUAAUUCUCGAUAGGUGAAGAACUCUGGAAUGAGUCUUUGCCAAAAAGACGUUUGCGUUAUGCUCGUAAACGUCGCCCAAGGAUGAGGCCGCGACCGAUCAGGUUGUUGGUGAGGUAAUGGCUCACCAAGCCUUUUACCGGUGCGGGCCGUGAGAGCGGGAGCCCGGAGAUGGGCACUGAGACAAGGGCCCAGGCCCUACGGGGCGCAGCAGCCGCGAAAACUUUGCAAUACACGAAAGUGUGACAGGGCUAUCCCGAGUGCCAUCCGCUGAGGAAGGCUUUUACCCAGUCUAGAACGCUGGGGGAAUAAGGAGAGGGCAAGUCUGGUGUCAGCCGCCGCGGUAAUACCAGCUCUCCGAGUGGUGUGGAUGUUUAUUGGGCCUAAAGCAUCCGUAGCUGGCUAAGUUAGUCCCUUGUUAAAUCCACCGAAUUAAUCGUUGGAUUGCGGGGGAUACUGCUUGGCUAGGGGACGAGAGAGGCAGACGGUAUUUCCGGGGUAGGGGUGAAAUCCUAUAAUCCCGGGAAGACCACCAGUGGCGAAGGCUGUCUGCUAGAACGCGCCCGACGGUGAGGGAUGAAAGCCGGGGGAGCGAACCGGAUUAGAUACCCGGGUAGUCCCAGCUGUAAACGAUGCAGGCUAGGUGUUUGGACGGCCACGUGCCGUUCUAGUGCCGCAGGGAAGCUGUUAAGCCUGCCGCCUGGGGAGUACGAUCGCAAGAUUGAAACUUAAAGGAAUUGGCGGGGGAGCACCACAAGGGGUGAAGCUUGCGGUUUAAUUGGAGUCAACGCCGGG
RNAcentral lists this ribosomal RNA (945 nucleotides) under uncultured archaeon. RNAcentral describes it as "bacterial SSU rRNA". It matches the Rfam family "Archaeal small subunit ribosomal RNA", at positions 1 to 922 of the family's 1478-position model. The record is from RNAcentral.